Gallus gallus (chicken) is the source of this 10426-nucleotide long non-coding RNA. RefSeq lists it as uncharacterized. The record is from RefSeq and is a predicted model, not a curated record. The transcript has 2 exons. NCBI's taxonomy places the organism in Eukaryota, Metazoa, Chordata, Aves, Galliformes, Phasianidae.
CGGCGCCGCGCCCGCCCGCGCCUCAUGAAUAUUAAGCGGCCCCGCCGCUCGGGGGAGGUGGCCCGCCGUGACGACACCGCUGCGCGGCGGGGCGGUGCCUCGCCCAUAAACACGGCGUGACGCCGAGCGGGGGGCGGUGGGAGCGCGGUGGUUGCUGGGAAGUGUAGUCCGCAGCCGCCCCCUUUCCCCCCCCACCCCAGCGACUACAACUCCCGGCGGCGCCCGCUCCCCGCAUUCCCGCCUCCUGCUCUACCGGCCUCCCGUCUCGUCCCUCAGGCGAGCGCUGGCCGGCGGGCGCCCUGCAGCCCGUCCCCGUGAUGGAACGGGUUCAUUGACCACGCGUACCCAUCCCGUCCACCGGCAUCUGACGUGUUCUCCCUGCCGGCUGCCCGAGCGCGGAGCUGGGGCCGUCUCAUCCGAGGCCGUCUCGUCAGAGACGGGAUGCGGAGGGACGUGCCGAGGGGCUGGGGGCGUUAAGGGCGUGUACACGCACCGAUGGGGCUGCUUGGUGUGAAGAGUCACUGGGACAGCACCGUUACCCUGUCGCUGUAUUUCAAGGGCUAGAAUGGCUGAAAAUAUUUCCUGAAAAACUGCAAUUAGACGGCAGUGCUCCCCCGUCCCGCUUGCAAAUAAAGUUACUUUAAAUGAAUGGCUGAAAAGAGAAAUGACAGAUAAAUGCAAUUAGCACAAAGAGACGAGCUCUCAUACUGAGAGGACGUAACGCUGCAGUAUUUACCCAGAGAAUGCACUCGUGCUCCUGGGGACGUUUUAGCUGAGUAACGUGAGUUGGAAGGGGCUGUAGCUGCCUGAGGUCACUCCUUUUUAAUACGUGUUGUAAAAUGGCAGCAAAACAUGGCGCCAGAGACUCAUCGGGAACGCUGCGCUCCACGGUGAAGUGGGGAUUCUGGUGCAGCGCUGAGUGUGUUGCGGCCCGGUUCUGUCUGCUCCCCACAUUCAAUUUUAAUUAUUCCCACUGAUUCAGAACACCCUCGCGCCACCUGCUUCAGGAAGGUUACCCCGGGUCUCCUGAUUUAAAUGCGCGAGAAAAACACUUUACGUGCAAAGGCACGCACCGACACACUCAGCAGAAGAAGGUGGCGGGCUCCGGAGGCAUUCCUGUUAGCAGUACCACUUGAAAUGAAAGGCAGUUUGUAGAAAACAGUCUGCUACCCUUGAAGGCAGUCCUUGGAGUGAAGCAGAGAGAGAGAGGAGCUGUGCUUUCCUCUAACUGUUCAGUUGUCUGACUGUUCACGCUCACAAAAAGAUCUGAAACGCAGAGAUCUUCAGAUACGUCUUAGGAACACAGAACUGGAAGGGAGAUCUCCUGGGACACCAGGUGUGCCCCUCGUCCCCGGGAUCCCAGGUCUCCUUACCUAGCUGAGUGUCCUCUCAAAGUGAACCAAGUGGGUCUGCCCACAAUACCACCCUGGUGGUCAGGAGCUUUCUUUCACUUUUCGGUCUGAAUUUACACAUGGGUGGUCUGUACCCGUGUGUUCACAUUGCCCUUUGACUCCAAUAGCUUUUUCUUUUUUUUUCUUCUGAGUGUCUCUCCCCAGUGUACUUACAGGCAGCUGUUGUAUCCCUGAGCAGUCUUUGCAUUCUCUUUCCUAGACUAAACAAGCUCCUUUUGCCUCUCAUGGCAAGAUAACCUACACAGCACAAGAACACUGGUGGUGGGCACCCUGUCCCUGGAGACACUCAAGGCCAGGCUGGAGGGGGACUCUGAGCAACCUGGUUUAGCUGUGCAUGUCCCUGUUCACUGCAGCGGAGUUGGACUAGGUGACCUUUAAAGGUCCCUUCCAACUCAAACGAUUCUGUGAUUCUAUGAUAACACAGAGUGAAGGUCAUUUCGGUAGCCUCGGGUCAGGCACGUGGUGGGGUGAGCUGGAGGAGCUCCUGCCCAGCUCUGCACGAUGCUGCGAGCUGGCGAGGGGCUGAGCUGACCUCGCUUCUCCUGCUGCUCGGCUGACUUACCGCUGCCCCGGGCCUUGCUAAUGAAGGGCUUUAAGCAAUUAAAAAAACAAGUAGCAGCACUGAGGUCCAGAGGGUGGAAAAUUGCUGGAUUUGUCUCUGCUCUGUGAAAUUUGCUCAGGAGCAGGAUGCUGCAGUGAGGCUUUCUGUGUUGUGCCAUGGAGAGAGAAGGCAGUGCACUGUAUCCCUCCCCAGUUUCCUGAACAAUCAGGCAGUGAUUUCUGUAACAACCCAGCAUCUCCAAACGCUAGUGGUACAGAGCCAGGUUGUUUUUGCUUUAUGCAGGGAAGUGCAUUUGAAAUCUUGCAAUUAUAUGCAUGUUCAAAUUGAACUCCCAGGCGUAUGAGAAAACGGUGCUAUUCUCCAUUUCCCAGUAACUGAUCAAUGCUUUUUAACUCUCUUGGAAUUGUGAAUUUUGCUGCGGAUUAACUGCUGCUAUGAGACGCGGGGAUGGAGCUUAUGAAAUUGAUUUUUGACAGGAGGAAGUGGAAGGGUGAAACGCACAUCUUCCUUUUCUAAAGUUGGAUUGAUCACGGCUGUUGUGAAGAACGGUAAGAUGAAACAGGAUGGUUUGCAAUCUGCAGGUUUCCAGCCAGAGUCUGGCAACCUUGAUGAAGAGUUUUCUGAUUAUAGGAGCUUUCUGCAAAAAGUAAGGGAAUAAAAAGUAAUUUAUCACAGAUUACUCUGCUACCAUACCAGAAGUCUUUAUAUCAAAUGAACAAAUUGUACAUACCCGCAGACAGUGGCAGGAAAACACCAGAAGGCCUUGAAACCCCACAAUGACUUCUGUGUAAUAUACGCAGUUACCAGAGACAGACAACAUACGGCCUCUGUAGAAUCAGUUUUGCCAUAAACUAUACUCAAAGAGAAUUUUUGAACUGUAUCAAAUACACAACCGUUACCCAAUUUGUUUUUGUUCUGUUUUUAAAGAAAGCCUUUCAAAAAAAAAAACAUGCCUUCGUUAAACAGGAAUUACUGAAUCCCCACUCCUCGACUGCAGAAAACUUGGCUGACAAGUCAAUUCUGGAUGAAAAGCUGACGAGCACCGAGAAAUGCUAAUGUGGGAAAAAUUCUAUUCAUUCUUCCUCUGCUAUAAGUCAUCAUCAGUGGCGCUGUUGAAUGUUCAUCUGUGAUUUAAGAAGGGAGAGGAAAAAAGAGCCGAGUACCUUCCUGGCUGCACGUUAAGCUCUCUGGAAGGAAAUAGACAGAGCUCACGUCCCUGCAUCCUUCAAGCAGGACAUGAGGCUGUGAAGCACCCUUCUGGCUGAAGGAACAUCUUGCCCCUGCUUAUCCUGGGCUGGAGCUGGGUGCAGCACUCUUGUUGCGGUGGUCAGUUGGCACACAGCAUUAUCUGCCAGCAGUAUGUGGCUCUCCCAUCCCCAGGGAGGAAGGUCUUUACUCUUGCAGUGCCCCCGGUUGCCACUGAGAUUUCAGCUUCUGGCAGAGCUGAGCUGUAAUGCACCCAACACGGUACGGUUUUCCUACGCAAUCACCAGCAGUGUGGCGUGGAGUCCCUUUGGUUGCACAAAUGCUUUCCGUUGCGAUGUACGCAGGUUGCAGUAUGCCAGCAUUGCAGUUAAACAGUUCGGAAGUGCAGUUUCAUUAGCAAAUUGUGGGAUUUCUUCUCCAGCAUGAACUUCUUGUCUCUGUCCUCUAUGAAGAAAGCAACUUACAGAAAUAUUCCCAUUGCUGAAAACGACACACCGAGGAAACGAAUUCAAGAAGAAACACCAGCUUCAUUGCCAGGAUUGAUUACAGGUCUAUGCUAUAUGUUCUAGUGUCACAUUAAAUCCUGUAUUAAAAUGAAAGCAUUAUUUUACAGAUUUUGUUUUUCACUUGUGUUGAUAUUAAUUGCAAAGCUAGACCUUCUAAUUCCCAGUGGAUUUCAGCAGCCUCUAUACACUAAUCCUCUUACUGCAUCUUUGGCUCUUCCAUUCUCAGCUGCGUAUUUUGUUUUUUUAAAAGAAAAAGAGCUUCAUUUUCAGUUAGAUGUUAAUGCACUGAAAGAUUCUCUUCCAGAACUGUAGAAAUCCUUCCGUGUAAUUAUUUCAUUUUAUCUUUCAUGCUCGUAUGGCUCCUUAAACCCAUUUUGUUUCAGAGCCUUACAACUCCUGGAGGUAUAGUAUUCAUCACUACUGGUAGAGAUGGAUUAUGGUGGAUUCAUUAAGCUGUAACCAACGCAGAGACUUGGAUGCAAUGUUUUUACACACUAUAUAACCCUAACCGGCACGGCUGGCACAUUUGAAAUGAUCCAGGAGAUCCAAACAUUUUUGGUAUCAGUUUUUCAUGGGGUUGGUCAUCUCCCGCUGAUUCACUUGGAAGCAUCUCAGCCAAGUGAUGGUGCUGCCUGUUGAAGGGCCAUACAUGAAGGCCUUUCACUAAGGCUGAGCACAUUUUCCUUCCAUACCGCACAUUUGGCAACAAGGCUGGCUGAGAAAGUGCAUUCCUCUUCUCCCUUAUAUAUGUCGCUUCUGUAUGAUGUGCUGCCCUGUGACUCUGGGGCUGCCCUGGCAACCGGGAGAUGGAAAUGCUCUUCAUUAACAGGAAUUGUGCCUUAAGAAUCUCAGGUAUUGCUUCAAGGCAGUAAGAGUCUAUCUCAUAAAUGCAUUUUGUUUACUUGUGAAUGAAUAUGCUCUGAUGUGAGAACAGCGCCAUGGAAGAUAAACUUUCAGAAUAUGUUACUGAUUAUUUAUAUCAGUACAGAGUGCUGUCAAUGGCUGCAUCUACAGUAAUUUACUAGAAGUAUGAGAACAGAUGCACAUUAUGCACUUCGAGGGAAUUAUUUAACUUUAUUUCUUGAACUUGAAAGGUGUAUCUUGUUAAAAGCAAACAUCAAAAUCCUCCGAAGAGCUUAAUAAAAUAAAGCCAUAUUGUCAGGAUCAACCUAGAAGGUAGUACUAAAGUAGCCAUCUCAGCAGUGGAAGUGUAGUUGUAGGGCUGUGCAUGAAAUUAAGAAUGUGUUUAGCAAUACACUAGGACAACGUGAAUGAACCCAGCACCAAAUAAUGAAUCUAAACAAAACAUUCAGAAUAAUAAGGCCAGCAUGCAGCCUAUAGGUGAUAGGACUCUCCAGGCGAUGACCACGUUGUGGUGAGGCCCUGCCACAUGCCCUCCAUGUGGAAGCUGACCUGGUGCAGGUGGGGAGCAGCUACCACUCUGACAUCCAGAUUUCAGUGAGGUGAAGAAUGAUUCUGCACUGUAAGCUUUGCAGAUGUUGGCCAGGGCACAGCAAAUCAUGGUCACAGGUAUUUAUUUGGCCUCCAAACUGUUUCAGCAGCAUCGUUCUGCUUUCAGCUUCCCAAAGGUGCCCUGUGUUGUUUUGUGGAUGCCACAAACAGAGCUGAACGCUCUGUGCGACUCCACCUGUUCUGGCCAGAGUGAAGCUAACCAUGAUCCCCAAAGGAGCACAAAUUCUCCUUGCUACAGCAGAAUAAGUUUCAUCUUUUCCAGGUGCAUGAUGCCCAGCCACCGUCACCGCUCCACGCUCUCCAGGAUACCAAGGACCCAUGACCGACCUAUUGCACAAAUCGAGAUGCAUUUUGUGGAUAAAGUAGUCCUUGGCCUCUCGAGAUAACAGGUAGUGAACUUGUGAAAACCCUCGUGCAGCUGAGGACUGCGGCGCUUUGAAAGUCAGCUAGAUUUUUAGGAACUCUCCGUCUGCCAACAGAUAAGGAUAAGCCAUUUUCAUAACAGGAUCACGUCAGCUUCCGCCUGCCUGGUGCAUUUCUUUGGCACACCAGGCAGCUCUGUCCUGCACCAACAGCAGGUCUGGAAUUCAGUGCUGUGCAAAUGUAACCUUUCAAGCAUGAAUUUCUGACAAAGGUGGUUGCCCAGAGCAAAUGGUGAAGGCUUUUCUUGCAGAGAUGAAAAGGUGGAGAGAGGGAACCAGCUUGGCAGCUGGGGCAGUAAGCAAUCAGCGUUGCAUUUUGUUCUGUAUUAAAAGUGGUAGAAGUUUUCCCUGUGCAGUUGACUUGUGUUGCAGCAGACAGGAACUCACCAUGGAGCAUUUCUCCCCAUCGUCUGCAGACGGGCUGCUGGCAGCACUCCCAUCCGCAAUGAUCUGGCACAGCUGGCCUGCCAGGAUUUCUGUCUGAUAGCUGAAUAUUUUGUGUCGUGCCAUUCUUGGCUGCCCUAUACUUUCUCCAUAUUAGAUAACACAGUGCACAAGAACCUCCAGCAGAUUCUCGGGCGAGUGGGUAGGAAACCGUUUACCACGUCCUUCCCCCACUCUAUGGCUUUGCUUUCAAAAAGCAGCAUCUAAUUCCCAGAAUGUGAAGCUUUGUCUUUGCUUGCUUUAGCCAGAGCUCUACUGCCUCAAUGCCAUCAGGCGUGCCUCCUCUCCAUCACAUACCCUGAGAAGAAAGGCACUGCACCCGCUGCCUCUUGCUGGCUGCAGUUUUCCAUUCACCAGCACAUGCAGAAAGUAGUGGCUCAGAGGCUGUGCUGACUCUCCCUCCAUCCUUAGUGCCACAGAACGAUUUUUGAAGGAAGUGAUCAUGCUGAGCCAAUGUGGCUGUGGAGUGAUGGAGGCCACACAGGCAUGAUGUUGCCGGAGACCGAAGGAAGCCAAGUUGUUUGGAAAGCUUCUACAUGAAGCUUGGAGCAAACACAUUCACUGCAGAGGGGAGGUGUAGCUCUUCCAGGGAGUGACAGGUGAGCUAGAACAUGCUAAGAUGGAUGCUUUUCUUUCCUGUAACGUCUCCUUGCUGUCAUGCCUCGAGCAGAAUCAUUGAAGGGUUUGGACAGAAGAGACCCUGGAGGUCAUCAUUCUGGGAGCACCAAAGUGAGAUCACAUCGCCCAGGGCCUCGUGGUACACAAGGCACAAGUCAGGCAGGGCUUUACAGGCUGAAAUUAGCAGCCUGACUCACAGGACAAAAAACUCGUUGUCAGUGAGAUGGCUGCUGAAUGCGCGUAACAACAGAUUGUCAAACACAUAACUACCCAACGGCUCCUUUCUUUCAGGAGCUGAGGAAUAGAAAUCAUUUGUGACAUUUCCAAUCUAUGUCCUCUGAGGAGCAUAAAGGUGACCACAGAGGACGAAACCACUGGUCUUGCCAGCAAUGUCCUGCUGAAGGAGGCUGUUACUGCAGCACGCCAAGGGGACAUGCAAGCAGUACGGUGGCAGGCAGUGUGGGACAAGCAGCUCUGGAAACCUUUCCCAAAACUGCCACAAUGGGAUGCUGGCUUCUCCCCAGAAGCCCAAGAGUGUAAAUCCCUUCCAGAGUCCUUGUUUAUUUUUAUGUAUGUAUUACCAGCCCUCCAGCCCUCUUUCAAAUCCUGCUAAGCUUUUGGUUGUGAUGACACUCAAGAGGAAUGGAUUCCACUGAGUAAUUGCACGCCGCGCAAAAAUUUAUUUCCUUUUUAUCAGUUUUAAAUGCAUCCCUUUUCAAUGUAAUUGAAUGUUCCCUUGUGUUUAUACUGUGAAAGCGAAACCAGAAGCUUGUGUUUACGAGGGCAUUUGCUGGACAGAGGCUGAGCCUGGCUUCCCACAGCUCCAAGCCAGGGGAAAUCACGCAGAGAAGAAUAAGCAAAUCAAUGGUUCUGUUUAAUCAAACUCAACAGUAAUUUGCAACAAAAGGAAAAUCUCAUUCUUGAGCAUUUUCCUAGGAAAAUUAGUCCUUAUAACAGACAAAAGAUUUUUGCUAUUUUUUUUCCCUAUUUUCCAUCCAGGAACGAUUUCAUACAUUUUCUCUCUUUAAGGGAAAAAUCAAGCAAACACCCUCACCCUGGCCCUUUGUUCCAGCUGCAAAACAUACACAAGAACACCUCUUACUAAAGGGGCUAAUUAAGCACAUGAUCCCUUUUCCCUUCUCAUAAAAGCUGCUGGAAAGCAACCCAAGCAAUGUCCUUAUUACAGCUGUGCUCGGAAAGCUCCUUCCUUGACAGGGGAAGGGUACUUAUGAUGGCAACACCAGUCUGUUCCCACAUUCCCUGAUGUGCUGGGGUCGCAUCACAUGUUUAUACACUGCUGUACCAGGGAAUAGCAACAUGGGCAGAAGUGUUUAUUUUUGGUGUCACUACAUUUCAGCAGAUGUUACAGGCUCAAUUAUCCCGGUACUUCAGCUGUAACAUUGCAUUUUCUCUAAGCUCCAUUUAUUUGGCUGAAACCCUUUUGUUGGAAGACGCUGCCUUCUGUAAGCUGGAGCUUCAGCACGGUAGAGCUUGACAGCAACCUUUGGUAAGCAAAUUUAUCUUUUUGGAUUGAUUCCACAGCCCAGCCACAAAUCACGUUUGACAUACAGCUGAACAAAACAAAUUUCUUAACACGGAGUAUAAUACACCUGCCCAUUCGAGACUAUCCAAUGCUUUCAUGCAGGCUCAUUAGUCACAAAGAAAUAAGUCAGCGUUCAGAUACAACUACGCUUCCGCAAAGCAGGAAAAGUCUACGUGCAGCAUCCUCACGGGAAAGGUGAGCAUCUCUGCAUGUCGGGAAGCAACGCGAAACAUCCCACAGCGCCUGAGUCACAGCUGGGAAAUGCAGCACAGCAGUUAUUCCAUUCUGAGGUCCACUGUUGGUCUGGACUGAGGUCUGCUGGGGUGGUGGGCCAUUUUAAGGAAUGGGGAUCACUUGACUCAGUUUGACUUCCCGCCUUUGCCAAUUUUAUAAGCAUUCCAUGGUCACCAUUCUUUCCUGCAUCACUUCGUGAAAGAGAACUGUGCAUUUGUUAUUUGUAUAACAUAAACACUUUAAACACUUUCUGAGGAGCACAUGUAAUUUAGCGGAAAUGAAGUUGAAAAUAACUGGGAAUAAUGAGCCGAGCAAAUAAUACAGAAAUCGUCCAAAUGCUAAGCCAAGCAAGGUAAAGCAAACACUUCAAGAGAACCGAAUCAUUUUCUUUUAAAAUCUACCUGACCGUAGAAAUACAUCUCUCUCCUGUCCCCUGCUUUACAAACACACGUACACGUCGGUUGGUAAGAAAGCAGGAGCUGCCAUUGUACCGCAUUGCCAUCUAUAGCAAGAUGUGGCAGCUUUCUGCUAUUUCUUAACAGGAAUUCGGUAGAACGACAAGGAGAGGGGACACAUUAAAGUUUUAUUACUUUAGUGGCAGUAUUCACCAGAGAAAACAGUAAUAAAUUCCCUACGCUGUGACUGUCUAAAUAGAUUAUCCAACAAUUAUCAUUAAUUAUUAAUCAUCCAGUGACUCAGAAGCCACCCCGUGGCUGUCGACUGCAAGAAUCCUACAGCUUUUGCAACCUAAUGAUAUGAUUUUCCAAAUUACAGUGUUGCAAUGCUAAACCAUAUGAGAGGUUAAUGGGAGAGGGAGUGAUGAAGUGAUACGAAUGUCCAAGAGUGUACCUUGACUUGCUGGCAGUAGGUUGUGAAAAAGCAACCCAAGCAAAUUCAGCAGAAAACUAUUUAACUUACAGAUUAUUACAAGAACCAAAACGGGAGUUGAAGGCAUUUUAAAGGGUCUGUGGAGGGAUUUGUGAAAAUACCUUAAAAUAGUCCAGUAGGUAAGAACAUCUUUUUCUCUUCUGUUACCCAAGAACACCUUUUCCAACCCAGCGUACAAGUGGCAGGGCUGAGGGCUGUAAUUCACUUUAUCUAUGCGCAUCCUUGGCUGCCCGUGUUUACCACACAGGAAAACAAGAUUGAUUUCUCAUUCUUAAGCACAUUUGUAACGUCUGUGCAAAUGAAUGUAGGACACAUCCCAGCAAGAUCGAUAUUUAUGCAGCCUACUUUGGAAAGAACAAGGGAGUUGCUUCAGCGCAGCAGGGGACCUCCUCAUUGGCUUUCCUGCAGUUUCCUCUUUUCCUCCUUUUCCACACAGUUUGCCUGCUGGGUGCUCACUGCUGAUUAGAAGUAGUGCUAAUGAAGGGACACCCCCAGGCCACCUGGAGCAGUGGGACCCCAUACGGAUGCACAGUCAAAUACAGCGCCCAUAGGUCCUGUCCACGGCUUCCUCCAGCCCCAUCCAUCUGCUUCGCUGUGGCUCACGGCCGCUCACACUUCGUGCCACUUGCAAAAGAGCAGCAAUCAAUUAUCCUAAUUAAAUGCAACAAUGGAAUAUUGAAUACCAUGGUUUAUUUCCUGCUCUAAAGGUUCGCAUCUUUCGUGUGUGCUUCCCCCAUGUUGCUUGUUGCAGCUGAUCUCGUGCAUUCAUUUUGCGUUAUAAACAGAGAGGACAGAGUGAACGGUACCCGCAAUAAAUCAAAAGGCAGAAAGGAAGCAUUAAAACAUGCCAACCUUUCCACAGUGUGCCGACGUUUAAAAGCAUCCCCACCAGCAUUUUUUCCAGCUCUCACAUCCCUGGCUUUUAGGAGGCUGCAGCUUCACCAAUCACUGGCAGAAGGUGGCCUGUAUGAAUUGUCUUCUUUCCGCCCUAUUUAUCAGGAGACUUUUUUUUUUUUUACCCUGACUUGAAUAAAGUUAGAGGCCCUCAAGUUCACCUGCAGGCAUGGGUUUCUGCAGAGCUGUAGGUGUCUUCAAAAGUAAAUUGGAGUUCAAGAUCA